Amblyraja radiata (thorny skate) is the source of this 993-nucleotide long non-coding RNA. RefSeq lists it as uncharacterized. The transcript has 3 exons. The record is from RefSeq and is a predicted model, not a curated record. NCBI's taxonomy places the organism in Eukaryota, Metazoa, Chordata, Chondrichthyes, Rajiformes, Rajidae.
AAUGAGGUGACAGGUCCAUGAGCCAUUAGCGAGGGAUUAUAGCUAUUAAAGUGAAUCCUUCUUUAACCCAAAUAUCAUUAAUCUUAGUCAUCUGCCUUGCUGUGUCUUUGCAAAAGUUGUGAUGUAAUAGUAGAUACCUUUGAUGUAUUGACCAAAUAAUUUAUUGCCAAAUGUCAGGGUUCUUACAGCAUGAAAAUUGAGAAGGCUAGCUAUUGCUAGAGUGGUUUGAAGAGCUCCAGAUUCUGUGAGACAAAGCUCGAAUAAUGCUGCACAGUAUGAGGUGCAAAUAUUCGUCCGGACAUCAUGGGUAGGUGAGCCAUACGCCUGAGCCUUAAUUUUCCAAAAACUGGCACUCCUCCUGCAAUAGUUGACUGGAUUGAAGGCCCAGAUAAGAAUCUGCUCACCGCCAUGGGACCUCAGGUACUCAGCUUGAACAAACAUCGCGGAUCUCCUGGUGUGUCAGUUCUGAAAAGUUAAGAACCAGCCUCACCAUGAGCAGAACGGCACAGGCUUUCAACUUUCUUGGAUCAGACUACUGGAUCAAUUAUUUACAGAUCCAAAGGCCAAUUUCGAGGAGUCUAAGAAGAAGUGAAAUGAUGGGAGGAGAAGUCUGUGUGAAAAUGUAAUUUAAAGAGAGCGGUCUGGAUAUGUCCUGUUCCCUGCUGUAAAUUCAUUGACAAUACUGGAAUUUCAUACUGGCUGCAGAUAGUGAAGGGAUGACCCAUUAAAUUCUGCUAUGUUUAGUGAGAUUAAAAAUAUUACACAUGGGUCGAGAGGAGUAAUUUGCUAUUGAAUUAUUUUUAUGUUUUUUUACAUAAUGAAAUGUACAUAGGUCAAGUAACAGUAGUGUGGUCAAGUAACAGUAGUUUGGUGGCGCGACUGACGUUGCAGUGGCCUCUGCAGUCCGUCUGUCUUUUUUUAAUUUUUCGUCCCGUUGAGUGUAGUUUGUAGUGGUUUUUAAAUUGUUUUUAACUGUGUAUGUGUGGGGGGUGG